RNAcentral lists this ribosomal RNA (463 nucleotides) under uncultured bacterium. RNAcentral's name for it is "partial 16S ribosomal RNA". It matches the Rfam family "Bacterial small subunit ribosomal RNA", at positions 28 to 507 of the family's 1533-position model. The record is from RNAcentral.
GAUGAACGCUGACAGAAUGCUUAACACAUGCAAGUCUUUGGCGAAGCUGUGCUUGCACAGCCUAGCCAAGGCGGACGGGUGAGUAACGCGUAAGGAACUUGCCCUGCAGUCAGGGAUAACAGACGGAAACGACUGAUAAGACCUGGUAAAGUCAGGCGGACUCAUGUCCAGCCUGAUGAAAAGAGAUGCUGCAGGAGAGCCUUGCGUCCUAUUAGCUUGUUGGUGGGGUAACGGCCCACCAAGGCGAUGAUAGGUAGCCGGCCUGAGAGGGUGGACGGCCACAAGGGGAAUGAGAUACGGCCCUUACUCCUACGGGAGGCAGCAGGGGGGAAUAUUGGACAAUGGGGGCAACCCUGAUCCAGCAAUUCUGUGUGCACGAUGAAGGUUUUCGGAUUGUAAAGUGCUUUCAGCAGGGAAGAAAAAAAUGACGGUACCUGCAGAAGAAGCGACGGCUAAAUACGUG